Molecule: long non-coding RNA, 18614 nt
Filed under: Glycine max (soybean)
Lineage: Eukaryota; Viridiplantae; Streptophyta; Magnoliopsida; Fabales; Fabaceae
Description: long non-coding RNA (GMAX_LNC002460)
Source: RNAcentral
AGGAAUUGGCUUAACAAUUGGAACUGGCUUGGGUAUAGACUUAGGAAUUGGCUUAACUAUUGGAACGGGCUUGGGUAUAGGCUUAGUAACUGGAAUAGGUAAAGGCUUUUUCAUUAUUGGAGUUGGCUUUGGGAUGGGCUUUGACACUGGAAUUGGAAUAGGUAUAACAAUGGGAAUAGACUUGGGUACAGGCUUGGUUAUUGGAAUAGGUUGAGGCCUUUGCACUAUUGGAAUUGACUUUGGGAUGGGCUCGAAAAUAGGAAUUGGCUUAAAAAUGGGAAUUGGCUUGGGUACAGGCAUAAUUAUUGGUAUAGGUAGAGGCUUUACCACUAUAGGAAAUGGCUUUGGGAUAGGCUUGAACAAUGGGAUAGGAAUUGGCGUGGGUAUAGGCUUAAUUACUGGAAUAGGUAAAGGCUCUAUUGGAAAUGGCUUUGGGAUAGGUUUGAACACUGGGAUAGGAAUUGGCUUAGCUAUUGGAAUUGAUUUUGGUACAGGUUUAAUUGAUGGGAUAGGUAGAGGUUUUUUCACUGUUGGAGAUGGUUUUGGGAUUGACUUAACAAUAGGAAUUGGCUUUGGUAAAGGCUUCUUAACCACUGGAGUAGGUACAGGUUUUUUGGCUAUUGGACAUGGCUUUGGCUUCUCAAUUGUUGGAGAUGGCUUUGGUAUUGGCUUCACUGGAACUGGGACAGGCCUGAACACCGGGAUAGGAAUUGGCUUUGGUAUAGGCUUAACAUCUGGAAUCCACUUUGGUAUAGGCUUCUGGAAAACUGGGAUAGGUAGAGGUAGAGGCUUUGGAAAAGGCAUUGGUAUAGGUUUAACAAUCGGAACCAACUUUGGUACAGGCUUAAAAAAUGGUAUUGAAAAUGUCUUUUUCUCUUUUGGAAAUGACUCUGUGCCUUUUAACUUUUUAUCUGAAGGCUUGGCAUCAAUGGUCACCUCAGUUCCUGCAAAAAAACAUUGAAUAUCAUAUUGUAUACAUGAUUGUUAUAAUUGUAUUUAGUUUUAGUGUGUCAGUGAAGUGUUGUAGUUCUAGCUGAGAAUGAAUGUAAAUCAUGUAAUGUUGCUUAUGCUAUGGUUCUAGGAUACUUAUAUUGUACAAAAUAUAAAGGAAAGUUGUAUAUACACAAGUAGGUUCAGACCACCAACCUGUAGAGGCUUCAUUAGCAGAUACAGCAGCAGAAUUGGCAAAACAGAAGCACACAAAAAGAAGCAGGGGCACCCUGUAGAGCAACAUUUGAAAAUGGAACUAUUCCUUAUUGUGAAGAUACCUACCUUAGCCUGGCCACACUACUCACCAAGGUGUGGCAAUGAAAGUUGGAAAAGGGAAAUACUUCUUAGAUUAAGGUUUGAGAUGCUCUAGCCUCAUAAGAUUUGUGUCUAUAUAUAAUGGUAUGGCCAGCUUAGGAUUGAUGUACUUGAAGUGGCUCAUAUGCUAUUACUUCUAGUUUAUAUUAUGAGGUUGUUGGUUAAUUUAGUGAUCAUUAGAGUUAGUUGGGACUGUGCAUGUUAGUUUAGAGAUCAAUGGCUAUCGGCACCGGCUUUGUUGCUGAGAUGGGAUCUCUUCCAAUAAUGAACUUCCCCACUUGGGCUAUUUUUUUGGUUAUUAUUGUUGGGUCAGUAAAUUGAAUCUCUAUCAAUAUGGUUGAUUAGGGUAUUUUUCUGCUACUUCACAAUGAAGUACCUGAGAAGUAUUUCUCCAAAGUUGAAGUUUUUAACACAGAAUUUUUUUUUUCCUUCCCUAUAUUACAGUGCAGGGUGAUAAAAGUAUUUUUUUUCCUUCCCUAUAUUACAGUGCACUCACUUUUAGGGUAGUUAAAAAAUCAUAGUUAGCACUCGUGUCUAGGCUAGUUAAAUUACACAUAUAUUGUUGUAGCUAAAAAUUUACAUGAUCAGAAAUAUCAAUGGGUUUAGAUCUACCAAAGAGGUAAACACCUCUCACAUCUAUAUCCUCAUGACUCCUCAUCAGAAUAACUUUCACCAUUUGUGAAGUCGUGUGAUGAGGUUCUGCAUGUGGAUACAAUAAAGGCUUUGGAGGCAUUUCUAGGAUAUCAAGUUUCCCUUCUGGCAUCUCUAUUACUUUAUUCAUUAAAUGGAUUUUAACUGAAUGCACCUUUGAAAAAAAAAACGGAAAAGAAAAGAAAACUAAAUGUACCAAAAGUGUAACUUUUUUUGUUUUGUUUUUGUUUUAAUUUAUGAGAAGAAAUGAAUUUUAACUAAUUCUAAAUUCGGUUAAAAAAUAAGUAAAACUUGUCCAACACUAAAGUAUAACUAUAAUCAUCUUCUCUACUACAUUUUUUUCUUCUUCUGUGCCAUCAUCUAAUUCUAUGUCUUCUCCUUUAUUAAAUUGAUCAUAAAAUGAAGUUUUCAUCAAGAAGGAUGUUGUACUCGAUACUUGCCACGAAGUGACCAAUCGUGGAAUGAAUUUAUAUUGGAAACGCUACUAAAAUAAAAUGUCUCACCAUAUUUUAGCUAGAACUGCCUCUUAACUAAAUAUACAUUUUCCUUAAAAGAAAACUAAAUAUACAUAUUAUGUGAGUAGCGUUUUUAGAAAUUUUCACCUAUAAAAUAUAAAAUUACACAAAUAAUACAUACAAAAUUAUUUAUCCAAAUGAUACAAAAUACUAUUCUGAUUUCUCACCUUUAUUUUUAGUAUUCCUCUAGAAAUUGAUUCACCAGGAACCAAUUUUUAAACGUGCCUUUUUUAAAAUAAUAAAAAAACAAGUUGUCGUUUUCUUAACUUUUUUCUUGUUUUUUUUUAAAAUUGUUUUUGCAUUUUUUUCUUUCUUAAUUAUUUAUAUUUAUGUGUUGUUUAAACGGAAAAUAAUAUUAUUUUGUAUAUGUAGUUAUUAUUUUUUUUGUUUUAUCCUUUUUUGAAGAGUUGAAAUCUUUUGUAUUAUUAAAAUUAUUUUUAAAAGUGAGUGAUGAAAUAUCUCAAUUAAAAAAAUAAAAAAAAAACUAAAAUUAUGAAUUUGAAAAAAUUUGAAUAGGAAAAUAAAACAUAUCUUUAUUCCUUAUAUCUUCAUUUUAUAGUAGUUUUACCAAAAAAACCACAAUAACAACUAAGUAGUGACUAAAAAUUCAUAAAAAUUUCUCACAUAAAAACUACAUAAUAUUUAGAUAUCGAAACUAACAAAAAAAAGCUGAAAAAAAGACUAAAUAAACCAAAAAAAAAAUUCAUAAUCAAUAAAUAAGAAAUUAUCUAGAGUUGAAAUCCUUUGUAUUUUCAUUUCAUUUGAUUAUUAAAAUACGUAAUUGAAAUUAAAAAAAGAAGAUAUUUAACCAACAAGUUGAAUUGAACUAAAAUAUUUAAAUUAGAAAAUAGAUAUAAAAUUACAAAAAAUAAAACAAAAUAUUUAAAAUUUAAAUAAUAUAACAAAAAUUUUAAAAUACAAAGAAUAUGACAUAAACUUAACAUUUUUUGCUUGAGCCUACAUGCUAGGGGCAUUUGUUUUUUGAAUGGCCUAAGAUGCGAUACAUGGAACAUUAUUUUGGUUGACUCGGUUCUCAGAUAUCUAUUUCGGUGUGUAUACGAGAGGAGAAAGGAUGACCUUUAGAAUUUCUUUUCUUCUUUGAGUCGAGGCAGAUUUUUGGCUCAUGGCACGGUGACCAAUACGCUUUGCUGCAAAAUUUCACAAAUAAUCCUUUGUAUAUGUUGGAGACACUUUCCAACGUAUACAUAGGAUGUAUGUAUAUAUUUUCUAUACAAAUGGAGAGCAUGCUUACAAGUAACAACAACAUGAGAACAAGACAUGUGCACUUUUUGGAAUUUGAGAUAGUCACACCACCUUUCAUCUAGCCUGACCAUGAAAUUUCUAGCAAGUCGAACCUCUCUCAGGUUAAUUGUCUCCUAGACCAAGAAUCAUGUGUCAAAUUGACCAAACUCAAGAACAAUGUGAGAGUUUACCUUUCUCUGUGUGUCUUCCAUAGUCUUGCUUAGUACUUGUGUAUAAAUUUGACCAAAUGUAAUCAUUGUUGUGGCUUCUCUCCCUCUUUGGUUGAACAAUGCAUUACACCUUGUAUAGGUUGAUUUUACCAGUGUACUCAUUGGUAGAUUUUGUGUUUUCUUGAGUACCAAAUUAAUUGACUCAACAAGAUUGGUGGUCAUGUGUCCUUAUCAUUGACCACCAUCCCAUGUGAGAGUCCACUUUUCUCGCAGAAUCUCCUUAAGUCAAUUAAUUGCUCAAUCACCAUUUGUUUCCUCCCUCAGAUUGUUGUAGUAAUUAUUGAACGUAGGCUUUAUCCUUACAUAAGCUUAGUAGUUAUAAACAUACAAUUUCAAUAUUGUGAAUAACACAAAAUUAAGUGAUAUUUAAUAUAAAGAAAAAGAAGUUUGACACUCAUUCAUAUUGAUAAUUAGUUUUUUAAGUUAUUGUUCCUGAACCUCUUCAUGUAAUUUUGUGUAAUGUGUCGAAUGCAAAACACAUGCGCAAAAUUAUGUCGUUCAUCCACUAUCAUGUCUUGAGUAGGCACGUUUUAUUGACUCAUACUUAUCUGAAAUCAAACAUAGACCAUCUUGUGGAUGAAGAGUCAUGCUUCUGUUAUUUCACCCUCAACAAUGACAAAGACUAUUGGAAGGAUUUGAUUGUUGCCAUCUUGUGCAUCUAUUACCACAAGGAGGGUCCCCCUGUACUUAUCCUACAACUAUGUUCCAUUGACCUGAACCAUAGGUUUGCAAUAUUGAAACCCAUUGAUACACGAUUUGAAACUCCAAAAAAGAAAAUGAAAUUUCAUGAAACCCUUUAUUGUUUGACCUUCUUGUGGUAACAUUGAUAGUUUUUACUUCUCCAUGACCAUACUAGGAAGAAAUUGUUGUAUAGCUUGCAACAAUCUUGGUAAAUCGUGGAACAAUAUUUUCCAAUUGUCGUAGAUGUUUUCAAUGAAUUUUUUCUAUUCCAACCAUGCUUUCUGGUACGCGGUAGUGUAUCCUUUAGUGUUUUGAUGUGAGCUAUCAAGGUCGACACUGAAGUUGAUGGAUCAUUUUCAAUCAACGUGUGAAUGCUUUUACUAUUGAGAAAAUAAGACAGCUUUGCAUGAUCUUGUGAGAUUGCUGGAUUUGAACAUGUAUGGGGUUCAUAAAGCUUUCUUAUUUCCACUUUUUACUUGCAUGGAUGUAUACUGCCCUGCACCUCCAAGCACAACCAUCAUCAUCAUGAAUGACAAUUAUCUUUGAUGAGUUUGAUAGUUGUGUCUUGUAGUUAGCCUUUUUGCUUACAUGAUAUUAUUGAAAAGCAUGUUGUACUUCUUCUUUUGUUCGAAAACACAUCCCUUCAAAGAGAAUCCCCAUUAGAUGUUAGACUUCUUCGUUAUCUAACGUAUCACCAAAUUAAAAAUCUGAAAAAUUAAAUUCAAGGUCAACAUUAUGCAUGUGUGGUGGUAUGUAGUAUAGUUGUACGAUUAUUAUUGGAGAAACAUGCUCAACUUCUUCCUUAUGAUCUUCUUGAGAUUGAUUGCGCAGAACUUCGUCUUCAUCCUCACUAAAGGGACUAAGUUAUUCGUUAGGUAAGCCAAGCUCUACUGUAAACUUAAGUUCAUUUGGUUGGGUUGAUGAGGUAGGUUGGGCUGCAAGGGUACUCCAGUAUGGGUGAGGUUGGUCCUCAGCAACACCAAAUGUUUAUGAGUCUAACAAAUUGGUGGAAAAUGAUGCAGAAAUAAGUUGAGUAAAAGAAGAUGUAUUUGGUUCAAAUAAAAUUUCUUGUGGUUGGAUUAAAUAGAAUGUAGCUUGGGUUACAUUAGAAGUAUGUGAAACAUGGGAUUGAGGAUUUGAAUAAUAUUGAGGUUCAUGAGAUAUUGGUUGAGGGUUUAGGGUGGGAAGUGUAUGUAAUUGGAUUUUUGCAUACAAUUCAAUGCAUGUAAGAACUUCAUGUUGGCAAACUAUAGAAAUCAUACCUUUGACGUCUUCAUUGUCAACAAGUUGCACUACUGUAAACUUGAGCAUUUUGCAGCUAACUAGUUGUGGGUAUCAAAAUGAAAUAUCGCAAACUUGGUCUAGUGGUUGAAGUCAGAUUCUUUGAUGGAUUUUUCUUUCCAAGGAUUCAAGUGUGAGGCUUUGUUUGAAGAACGUUGGGCGAGGACAUUAAAAUGUAUCUCUUUCAUCUAUAUUGAUUAUUUAACCAUUGUAGUACACUAACCAAUUGACAGAUGAGGAAGACAUGUUGAGUAUUAUGUUUGCAAAGUUGGAAGAAAGUAAUAGAGAAAGAAAGUGUUGUGUGGAUGUGUUGAAUGAAGGUGAAUAUGACUUCUAUAUAUAGGGGUCAGGGUUCAGGAUUUAUGACCUAGGGUUAGGGUUUAAAGCAUUGGAUUCCUUUACGUAAAGCAAAAAUGUCUUUGAUGCACUAGCGUAAAGCACAAGUGUCUCUGAUACACUAGUUUAAAGCAAAAGUGUCUCUAAUACACUAACGUAAAAUAUUUGAUAGAGGUGAAACUAGCUUGUCUAAUGAUCCUUUACAUGGGAUUAGAGGUCCUAUGACAAGGUUCAAGAUUAAGAGGAUGAAACAAGCAUUGCAAGGCCUAAUUCUAAAGAUCAAAGAGAAAGAAGACCAAUGUCUAAUUAAGGGUUACACCUAAUUGGGUCAUUUUCCUACAAAUUGAUAAAGAUGCUUUGAGGUCAACUUGAAGAAUCACUUUGGGUAGCCCAAUUUACAAGCCAAGAAGCAUCCAUGGGCUAAGUUGAUCAAUUUUGAUGGACUAUUAAUAUUGGACUGAUUAGAUAAUAACUAAGUCCAAUUUUUGUCAUUUUAUUUGUAAUUUUGUACUAUUUUUUUGGCUGGAGUUUCUGGAGAAUUUUCAUUUUCUCUUAGCCUUAAUAAAUGUUUUCUAGAAUACUCCAAGUCAUUUAGUGGCUAGUGGGAAAUUUAUUUUCAUGUUUAUUGUCAUUUAUUUUCAUUUAGUGGCAUGCAAUUAUCAAUGCAUUUGGUAAAUGCAUAAUAGUGAGAAUCUAUUAUAACAUUUCAUGAUUAGCCUAUAAAUAGGGAACACUCGUACUUUCCAAAGAUAGAAUUGGAAGAUUAAUAAAAUUUGAGAGUUUCUCUAUUGUAAGAACUUUUCCUUUGUUCUUGGGUUAGGAACUUGAUAGUGUUGGUUCUAUCGGCUGGUCGCGGUUAGGGUCACACCCCUUUUGAUAAUUUUGGUUCUACCAGUAAGUCGUGGUUAAGAUCAAGUUUCUUUCUUUUUAUACAUGUUUUCAAGACAAUCCUAAGUGUUAUCUUAUCAACAUUGGAUUCCUUGACACACUGGUGUAAAGCAAAAAUAUCUCUGACACACUCACAUGAAAUCACUGAAAGAUUUCAUUCCAUGAGGACAACUAUUGACACCUAGAUUGUUGUGUGUAUCAUUUAUUUUGUUUUAAAUAAUAUUUCGAUCCCAUAAUUUUCAUGUCAAUGAAGCCAUUAAAACAACUUUCGGUUGUCGAUUUGGGCCUAAAACACAUUAAUGAAGUGACAAAAAAAAUCGUUGAAACUUAAAGAUUUCAUUCCAUACUUCAAACUUUUGGCAUUAAAACACACAUGGCAAGCAUUCAGUAAUACAACAAUAAACAACACAUAUGACGACUACAAAUCAUUAAAUAAUAAAAUAGUAAUCAAAUAAAUUGGGUGAAGGGUUUCUGCAAAACUCAAUUCAAGGUUCAUUGCUUCAUCGAUGCAUUCAUCCAAACCCUCUAAAUUCAAAGAGCUUGUAGAAAUUGGUGGCAGUGAUGAACAUGUUUGUGUAGGUGUGCCUGUGGUGAUAAGAUAUAACUCAAGGCAUGUGAGGUUAGAGUUGCUCGAAUAUAGAAAACAUAUUAAUUAUGUCCUUAUCAUCUUUCAGUAUGUAUGCCCUGUACUAAAAACAAUCACUAACAAAUGGUACAUGACAUCAAAAAUGUAUAUCCAUGACCACUUUACCAUUUGGUAGACUAAUCUUGUUUCCAAUUGCUUUUUUAAGGCAUCAAGUGACAUUCUAUUUUCAAGUUGAAUGAUCUUUGGUGAACCACUUACAAACUUUGAACCAUGCUUAGUUGUUGUGAUGGUGCCAUUGUAAUACACAAUCGUAGUGACUAAUGACGAAGUCAUGGUUUAGAGUUUAGGGUAACAGUAAGAUUUCUGAUUGAGGUGAUGUAUCAUACUGCCUUAGUGCAAACUAUAUUUAUAAUGUUUAAUGAAUUUUCACAUGCACUUGGCCAAGAUCCCAUUGACGAAAUCAAUGGCCUAGAUAACAACGAUGGGAGCAACGGACAUUGAACAACCAAGAUCUCACUAACAAAAUCAACGGCCUAGAUAACACCAAUUAAGCAACACACGUUGAACGAUCAAGAUCCCAUUGAUAAAUUGUGUUACUAUUACAUUUUUCUAUAAAUACAAUGCAUGUAUUCCCAUCAUAUACAAUCACUUUCUCUCGUUCUCAUAUAUCCCUCUUUAAUUUCUUCAUGACAUUAGUACCAAAGCCUAAAUCAUGGAAUCUACAAUUGUUCCUCUUUUUUGGAAACAACACCUUCAUAGAUCUAUACAAGUAUGUAAUACAUUUUGUUUAAUUGAAUGUUAAUUAUGUUAUGAUUUACAAAUAUUCAUGUUGUUAUUUUGAUUUCUAUAGGUAACAUAUGAUGUAAUCCAGUCAUAUGGUCAAGUUAUGUCUUCUCUAGAUCCCAAUAUUGAAUCUUUGUUGGUUCAAGUUGGGUUUUCAGAUGUUGCAAAGCGCGGAAAAAUGAAAAUCGUCAACGCUUUAGUGACUACUUUGGUUGAAAGGUGGAGACCUAAAUCACACACGUUUCAUCUUUCAGCUGGUGAAUGUAUAAUCACUUUGGAAGAUGUUGUUCAUCAACUUAGUUUACGUGUUGAUGAAAAACCAGUUACUAGCCCAACAUAUUAUGAUUGAAAACAAUUUUGCGCAGAAUAUAUAGGUGUUAUACCCCCAACAAUGCACUAGUGGGAUCAACACUGAAACUAAAAUGGUUAAAAGAAAACAUGUUGACUUUUCUAGCAGAACCAAUAUCACAACAAUUAGCAGUUCAUUGUAGGGCAUGCAUUUUAGGGUUGAUUGGUGAAGUUUUGAUUCCAUACAAGUCAGGAAAUGUAGUUCACAUGAUGUAUCUACCUUUGUUAAUGGAUCUUGAACAGGUUCGAUGAUAUAGUUAGGGUUCGACAUGUUUAACACAUUUUACAGAGAAAUGUGUAGGACAAUUUAUCUAUGCAUCAUCCAAAAAAAUGGGAGGAUGUACAGUGUUUUUGUCAUCUUGGGCAUGAUAUCACAUGUCAUUCAUUCAACCAAAGGUCAAGUGUCAGCUGUCAUAUCCACUUGCAACUAGGAAAACAAAAAUUUCUCACUCAAACAAAGAUCAUUUUUGGUAAUGUAUUUGAUACUAACAUAUUAUAUUUCACUGGAUGGAGUGGCAGAAGGCAACAAUUUUAUAAAAUCUCACACGGUGAUGUUAUAGGCUGCAUAUCAAGAUUCCAUAACAUGCGUAACGAGGAGGUUGAACCAUUUAUUUUUGUUUUAUUUAUUCAAAUAUCAAUUACAUUUUUUUUAUAAAUUAUUAACACAAAUUAUUUUUUUAGAUCCAUUGGAUGCCUUAUAGAGGGUUCAAAUCAUUUCUGCCAAAAACAUGCAUACAAGGAUUCCAAAAUAUGGAAUGCUUGUGUUGCUUUAAUUGCCCUUGUUAAUUACAUUCUACUAUGAUGAUUGUCAGUUUGCCCUUGUUAAUUGAUUGAACACUAAAUAAUGCCUUAAUUGAAUGAACAUUGAAUUUUCUAAGACAAAUUAACUAAACGCUACAUUUUUUGGAGAUGAUUUGAUUCCAUAUUGCUUUUUCCCAAAUGAUUUGACCUCACAUUGUUUUUUUUUGAGACGAUGUGACUAGAUGAUGGUUUUUACGAGACAAUUUGACUGAGCAUUUUUUUUUUCAAAUUUUGCAAAGCAACCAUAAUUAAUUAUGACACAAUCUAAAUCGUGUAUAUUGUCAGUGCGAUCUCAACCGUUGGUAUGAGUCACAGGAGAACACUUAAUCACCUAAUAUAUAUAGUAAUAGAAGUUAGAUGCCACUCAACACCUUUGUCUGAUAUUCACUAUAUUACUUAAAACAUGGAGAGUGUAUCCACUCUUGUGUAUUGCAAUAGUGACCUGAUUCCAUUAUAUGAAGGGAUAAAGUUUGAAUACCCUAUUUAUCCUAAAGUCAUCAUAAUAAGUGAGGACAUGUCAUUUGAUGCCUUACGGAAAAUAAUUUUGGACGCCAACAAAGGUUGCAUAACUUUACUUGAUCAUUUUUAUUGCCAACCAAUAUACGUAAGUGAUAAUUAUGCUAAAUACGAUUGUAUAGAGCUCAACCACAAUGAUGGUGUGGGAAAAAUGUUUUUCAUAUAUUUAAAAUUUAAUACCAAAGGUUUGAUUGAGUUUAAUGCAACUUUUAGGCUUUCUCUAGAUGAAAUCUUUGUCCUGCUGCACAAACGAAGGAAACCAAGAAUGACUGAUGAGAUGAUUGCUCUGAUGCGUGAUGAACCUGUGUAGUCAUUGCACAAAUUAGUUGUUGUUAUUUUUUUAGAAUAAACUUGCAAUUCAUCAUUAGAAUUUUGUUGUUACUUUUUUUUUUUUAAGAUUCUCUACUUUAAUGGUGUUAGAAUAAGCUAAUUUUUCUUCUUCUUCAAUUAAUCAUGUAAAAUACCACUACAUCCACAAUAUUUUUUGAAAUGAAAAAAAAAAUUAUAUAAAAAAUUAAAACUUUCUAUAUUUUUCUAGAGUGGAUUUCCAUUUUAUUUUCAUUUCUAUUUUUAAAAAUAUUUUAAUCUUUCUAUUAAAAAAUUAAAAUUAAUUUCUUGCUAAUAAAAUUUGUAUUUAACCCACAAUUUAUAUUUAUGGGAUUACAUUAACAUUCUAUCGAUAAAAUAUCAUAAACAUAAAUAGAAUAAUGCAAAAAGUAAUUUAUCUUAGCUUUCUUUAUUUUUUUUUUGUCUUUUUUAAUCUAGAUAAACUUUGUUUCAUUUUUUUUUUCAUUUUUUAGUUACGUUUAAUUUCAAAUUAUGCACUUAUCUAAAUAUUUCAUUUAAGGAUUAAUUGUUUUUUUAAACACUAUUUAAUAAUAAUGGAUUACAAGUAUUUUCUUUAAAAUAAUUUAAUUUAAAAUAAAUCUUUGUGUGAAAUUGACAACACGAUAGAAAGAUUUGGAAAUAAUUUUAAACAAAAAAUAAUAUAAAAUUAACUAACAACAUAUGCAAAAUAAAUUUUUAUUUUUAUAAAAUAAUAUAUAUAUAUAUAUAUAUAUAUAAAUUAAUAAUUUUUUUUAAAAAAAUAACAGAAAACUUAAUUAACUACCAAGAACCGAUUUCUCACAUGUUAGAUUAAUUUGUAUCAUUUGAGUAAAUAAUUAAUUUAUUUAUAUUUUUGGGUAAAAAAAUCAGUGUUUCUAAUAUAUAUAAAUAACAUAAAAAUCAUAAUUAAUGGCAGUGAUCUAGUUUCAUUUUAAUAUUUUUUAAAGUAUUUUUUCUGCUAUAGUUUAUAUUUCAUUGUAAAUUUUCUGGACAACAACUAAAUUAUUUUAAUACCUUAAUAAAAAAGUAAAAAUAAUUAAAAGGAUACUCCUAAAAGUUAGAGAUGUAAGUCAAUAUGAUUGGAUUAAUAUAAAAAUUCUAGAAUUUAAGGGAAUUUUUGAAUGAAAGGAGGAAGAAGAAUGAGGGUAAAUGUUGCAAGAGAACAUUGCCAAAAUGAUCCAUGUGACUUGGUUGUCACAUGUAGGCUAACAAAUUAUGUUGAUUUGGUGAAGGAAGAAGGAGGGGAGAGGGGAGAUGUGGAGUGUUUGAAUUUCUUACUAACAAAAACUUAACAAUUAACGAUUAACAUUUGCCUGAAAAAAAUAUAGGCUACCAAAGGAACUAGACUAGUGAUCUUCGAUUUCAAGGUUUAAUAGGAAAAAUGUGUUUUUAGUUUCUAUAUUUUUCAUCAAAUGUGGUUAAUUGGUCCCCUUGUAGUUUUAUAUUAAAGAAUUUACUCUUCAUUUUUUUAUAAAAUAACAUGUAGAUUUAGACCUUAACUUUAAGAAAACAUGAUGAAUUUUUAGAAACGAAGGACUAAAUCGGCAUGUUUCUAAAGUUUGAAUCCCCUACGUUGAGGCCUCGGGUCUUUGUGUUAUGUAUAGUGUUAGUUGAAGAGCCAACAAGACUAAGGCGGGAAUGAGAGUGCGUGAUGAGGAGGUGAGUUGUAGUGGGUAUGAUCAAGAGGAUGAUAUAUGGCAAUGAUAAUGGGCAGAAAUCCUACCAUAAUUGUAACACCCCUUGUUAUUAUUAAGAAUUUUCUUAUUAUUUUUUAAAUUUGUGAAAUAAUUUAAAAAUUUUGACUAUUAAUAUCACCUUCAGAAUGGAGGUAAAGGCGGCAGGAGAACAUUGUCAAAAUCAACUAUCUCCAACAAAUAAUUUUCGAGGUAUACUAAUUCGAUAUAUAUAAUUUUACAAAGUUUAGUAAAAAAAAAAAAAAGUCCAUCAUUAUCCCCUUUUAGAGUGUGAUUUACUUGGACUUUACCCAAUAACUAAUCCCACAUUGAAUAGUAAAUAUUUUAGAAAAUAUUUCACAACCAGAUUGUCAAGGCUACAAUCCCAGCUUCUUAGCCAAGGUCUUCCUUGUUCUCUUCUUUAAACCUCUUCUCCAACAGAUGGAGUUGUACUUACCAAAAUUCAAAGUUGACACAUAUCAGGGGGACAUGGCUAAGGUGAGCUUUUGACUUCACACGUCGAACUGAGAGUAGCCUUUAUUAAGAAGACAAGAGGAGGGACCUGCAAAACAAAUAACUUCGACGCUCAAUUAAGUACAUGAGUUAGGAGAGUAUCAGAAAAUAAGUAUAUAAGCAGGUGUGAAUGUGUUCGUCUCAAGUGAGUAUGAAUGAAUGUGUGAGGUUUGUGUUCGAGGGUACUACGAGAGAACCUGAUACUUAUAGGAUGAAGAGGGAGCUGCAGAUCCUUGUUGAUAGGGGUUGUUACAAUGACACACCAUCCCUGAAAGAUAAUUACCAACUUGUAGAUAAUAGCCAGUGACUUACAUAUAAAGUUAGAGAUAAAAGCUAGUAGAUAGUUGUUACUUAUAGAUAAUGUAUGACUUUGUAGAUAAUUGAAUAUCUACCAAUAGAUAAAGAAAUAAAAUUAUAUUCAAAUAAUAAUAGAUUAGAGAUAAUCUGUCGGUUGAAGAGCCAAGUGAUUAAGGGCUAGGCAUCUGUACUCUAGCGUUAGGACUGAUAUGAAGAGUUAGCGUAUGUCUCGGAGUACCACAUAGCAUGACACGUGCAUUUUGUGAAUCCUGAACCAUACAUGACCUAACUAUCAAUCACAAAACAGUGUCACAACAUGUAAAUAUUGUAUGCAACACUAUAUAUUAAUCUAAAAAACAAAGAAAGUAAAAGCCUUAUACAACAUCUCUCUUAUCAGUUUCAUCUAGGCAUCCCAAUAGUAUUCAGUAAAUAUUAUUAGUGGAGGCAAAAAAGAGAUAAAACUUUGACAAGGUAUAAAUAUUUGAAUGCAUGCUUAUGUUCAACUUGUAUGUUAUUCUGUUACUUAGACCAAUUCUUUGCUCGCUGUCAAUACAAUAAGAAGGGAUACAUAUUUCCUCAGCUAUCUCUUGCAGGUGUGAUGCACUGCUAGAGUUCCAUCCACCAACUGCUAACAUAAGAUUUUGAUCUUCUUCCUCCAGUUCGUAUAUAACAUAUUGUCGCACCUGAAAGAAAAUUCAGUUUAGCUGUAGAUUAGACUUGAAGAAUACAAAUUUAAAUAGUGGCAUUACAAUUUUAUAUUUGGUUUAAUAAAAAAAAUUACAAACAUGAAAUACUUGCUCGUCAACCAACACCAUUUCUAUGGCGUAUGGGUGAGAAUGGUCAUCAAUAGGAAACAUAUUCCAUGCACAUUACCCUAACCUUAAGUCUCCUACUUUGUUUCUCAAUGGCCACACUUGCAACUGCACAUCAUAUUCGGAAGCCAUUAUAAAGUAUCUUUUCUAUCUAGUAUCUUUUGUAUCUAACAGAGAUACACAGGUCAGUCUAUUUAAAUUUAUUUAUUGAAAUAAAUAUUUAUAAACAAUUUUCUAUUUUUUAAUGUAUUUAUUUAAAUUGUUUCUGCUUAAAAUAUGUAAUUUUUGUUUAUUUUAAGUAAAUCGUAUCUACUUCUUAAAAAAAUGCUUACAGUUUUUAUUUUAAAGUUAUUUUUUUAAGUUUAGACAAAUCCACACGAAUAAUUAAGAACCUUAAGCUUUGGUGAUAUGGUCUAAAACGAAAUCUAUUUAUAGAUCAUACCAUCGACCAAUACCAAAGUCUAGGCGGGCUUUACUAUAGACUUGAAAUUCGAAUUCAAAUUCAAAUAUAUUACCUUCUGCAAUUAACAUUGGUUUCACCAUCUGCAAUUACCAUUCUGCAUUAUUCAAAGGAUGAAAUCAGAUUGUCAAAUAAUAAGAUAAUAGAGACUUCACAUGUAGAAAUAUAUAAAAAUAGGAAAAGGCACGCCAAAACACACCUUUCAUCUAGGCACUAGUGUAGUACCAUUGUCUUUGAAGAAACAACAAUUGUUGCACUCUCCACAAUCAAAGCAUAAUAUAUAGCAAACAGUUGUUUCUAAUUAACAAGCAGUAUGACUGAGAAGAGUUUUAGAAAUAAAGCACCAGAUAAGGAAUACUGCAACAAAAGUAUUUUGUGAUACCAACAUGUUAUUCAUUGAGUAAGAAUCUAGCUUUUCAUGUGUAAUCCAAGCAUAUAUAUUAAUAUACAAUUUCACAAUAUGUGAGAGUUGGUCAAUGAAAAAGAAGUCGUGAUUAAUUAUAACUAGCUAGUAGAAGUCUCCCUAUUUUCUCCAAAAAUCAUGUAAUGUUAUAUGUUAAGCAUAAAAAUUAUUGCCACACUAUAUAUAUGAAGACAACCUCAUUAACCUUCCGAAAGAAACUGUAGGCACUUCCCAGUUUUAGUUGCAUGUACCACAGUUUAUAAGAGAUUUUAUUACUUCACGAUAUAUUAUUAUAACAAGUCUGCCUAUAAAAGGCAUCGAUCUAGUUGCAUGUGUAUUGUUGAAUCAACUUUCAAGUUGAAUGAAAUGGUAGUGAGUUAAAUGCUUCCUCUGUUUUUUUUGUUUUUUUGUUUUUUUCUAAAUGCGCUGAGCAAGAAAGCCCCUGACCCAAGAACUAAUAUAUUAAUUAAGGAUUGCAAAUUGUUUACCGCAUUGUCGUCCAUAAUGUAAAGCAAAGUUAGGAAUUGAAGCAAAGAAAAGACAAUCCCUACUAAGUGAUAGGCCAUGCUUGGCAAAACAACUCAUCUUUGAUUUUGCAAAUCUCAUGACCCAACCGUGAAACUGGCCAUCCUGAACCAAAGCUUCAUUAAUCUCAUUUACUACAUCAACAGAAUCUGAUUCCACCCUCAAGAGCUGAAUCCCAUUAUCCAAAGCCAUUCGCAUAUACCAUACCAAAUGGCCCAUAUAUAAUUCAGAUUCCAGGACAUGACAAUUACCAAGCCUUCUUGAAUAAGCUUGGAUAAAAUUACCUUUGCUAUUGCAGAUCACACCAUCACAAGAAGAAAUAGCUACCCUGUGACAAACGGCUCCAUCACAAUUAAGCCUAUAAAUCUUCUUGUGGUGUAGGACACGGAGUGCGAUUUAGCUUGUGCAGAGUGCAAACUUGACUGAGAGAAGGAGAAAAUUAGAGAGAGAUUUGAGAGAAUUGAGAGAGAUUUUAAAAUACUCAUGGUAUUGAAUUGUGUUCUGUCUUUUGUGAUUACAGAAUGCAUAUUGGUAGUGUUUGCCUACAUCGCGUAAUCAGCCAUGUGGGGUCUAUUACAAGUAUUUGCGUUAAGUAUCAUAUUCGAAGGUUAUGUCCGACUUGGCUAAAGUCGGUUCAUUACUAGAGCACUUCUUACUUAAGUCGGCCUUUUGAGUCUGUUGGCAGCUUACAAUAUCUAAGUUGGUGUUCAUAUGCUUAGACUUUAUGUCACAUGUCUAUGACGUGUAAAGUUUAUAUUUACCUCAGAAUAAAUCUCACUAGAAAAACACCACCAGCUUUUAUUCGUUUCCCUUGGCUGCAUCAAUAUCAGGCUCUCAGCGCUAACCUGAAGAUCAUGAAUAAGAGCUCUGGUCGGUCUGUUCACAGCAUAAUCAGGUACAAGCUUUUGACGAAUAACAAGCUCGUUCCUUCUCCACCAAAUUCGGUCCAGUGACAGAAAAAUUAUUUUGCUCCCUCAUAAGUAGCAUUGCUUCUGAUAUUAAUUCCCAGCCAAUCAUCAAUGUCUUGCUUGAAGAAAAGGGACUGAUCAUUAACCUUUAGCAACUUCCAGAUCUUUUAAUUAAUUUUAAUAGUUUCUGGAGUUAAAUUGACAAUAUCUUUUAAUUUGAAAGACUUGAAAAUAUCAAUUUACUCAUUUUUAUUAUCAGUAAAAUAAUAUUUUAUUAAUUAAUGGUCUCUAAAACACAUUUUAAGUUUAUAUUUUUUCAUAUCCCUACAUUCUCAAAAUACUUCAGUUCUUCUUAAGCUUCACUCAAUUGCUUAUCUAAUCUUCGGUGCUCUAGCCUCUCUAUGGAAGCAAUAGGUAUAAUACAUGUUACUGUCCCAUUGUUCUAUGAGGAACUUAUUUUAACCUAUAAGUUCCCGGUUUUGUCCGUGCAUAGCAUUGUGUGAUUCAUGAUUUACAUAGAAAAUAUUCAGUUUAAGUAGCUUAAUUUAGAUAUCUAUAAUGUUAUUAGUGUUUCAGUUGUGUGAAUGUGAUAUGUUAGAAUACAAGUGUGAGUCCCAUAAACCUGAGACUUAAUGUUUUAGAUUAAAAUGUGGUAUCAAGUUCAUUAUAUGAUUACUUGAGAUUCAUUAAUAUAAAUUUUCUGGUAUUUACUCCUCAGAUGCACAAUACUAUCACAAUCUCAGUUAGGGCAAUUAUAUCAUGUUGUGGUCGUGGUCUGCAACCACAAUUUGUUACUUAUUAAAUAAGCAAAGUGUUCUGGCUUAUUAUAUGAUUCCCUUUUUGUUGCCAGUACCCUAAUUCAAAAAUGUUAUCACACAAAACUCAACACUAACAACAACUAUUAAUUAGUAAACCAAAACCAGAUACUACACAUCAUUCCUUGAUUAGUAGAUCAUCAAUCGAGUUACAAUAGCGGCAACAUUUGGCAGUUUCAUAGAGGCAAAAAAACUUUUACAUUCCAAUUCAACUUCCAAGAUAAAUACAAUAGGAUACAUGCAAACCCGUACAGCAUUGAUCUCGAGACACAGGCGUCGCCCUGUAAAUAUUGUACUGGAUAUCUCCUUUCAAAUUGGAGUGGAUAACUUCAUAAGCAUAAGAAAAUAUAUGCAAUAAAGAAGUGGUAUUCAGGGAACAAUAAGUUUUUGAAGAAAGGCUUAUAUAGGCUUUAACAAAUGAAAUUUGUUUUGGUAUAGGCCUGAUCAUAAAAAUGGAAAAUGGCUAUGGAAUAGGUUUGGAAAUUGGAAUAGGUGGAGGCUUUUUAACAGAUGUAAAUGGCUUUGGUAUAGGUUUCAUCAUUGGAGGAAUAGGUAAAGGCCUUUUCACAAAUGGAAAUGGCUUUGGAAAAGGCUUGAAUGUUGGGAUCGGAAUUGGUUUAACGGUUGGAACUGGCUCGGGUACAGGCUUAAUUGUUGGAGUAGGUAGAGGUUUUUUUAGUGAAGGAAUUGGCUUUGGUAUAGGCUUAAUUGCUGGAAUAGGUAGAGGCUUUUUCACUAUUGGAAAUGGCUUUGGGAUAGGCUUGAAUACUGGAAUGGGAAUUGGCUUAAUAAUUGGGACAGGCUUGAAUACUGGAAUGGGAAUUGGCUUAAUAAUUGGGACUGGCUUGGGUAUAGGCUUAGUUACUGGAAUAGGUAGAGGCUUUUUCACUAUUGGAAUUGGUUUGGGGAUGGGCUUGAACACUGGAAUAGGAAUGGGCUUAACAAUGGGAAUUGGUUUUGGUAUAGGCUUUGUUACGGGAAUAGGUAGAGGCUUUUUCACCAUUGGUGUUGGCUUUGGAAUUGGCUUAACAACUGGAACUGGAUUAGGUAAAGGCUUUGUUACUGGAAUAGGUUGAGGCUUUUUCACGGUUGGGAUUGGCUUUGGGAUAGGCUUGAAAAAUGGAAUAGGAAAUGGCUUUGGGAUUGGCUUGAACAAUGGUAUAGGAAAUGGCUUGGGGAUAGGUUUGAACACAGGAAUAGGAAUUGGCUUAAUAAUUGGAACUGGCACGGGCACGGGCUUAAUUACCGGAAUAGGUAGAGGCUUUUUUACUAUUGUAAAUGGCUUGGGGAUAGGCUUGAACACUGGGAUAGGAACUGGCUUUACAGUUGGAGUUGAUUUUGGUACAGGCUUAAUUACUGGAAUAGGUAGUGGUUUUUUCACUAUUGGAGAUGGUUUUGGAAUUGGCUUAACAAUUGGAAUUGGCUUUGGUAUAGGCUUCUUAAUCACCGGAGUAGGAAUAGGUUUCUCGGCUACCGGGCAAGGCUUUGGCUUUGGCUUUGGUUUUUCCACUAUGGGAGAUGGCUUUGGUAUAGGCUUCUUAAUCACCGGAGUAGGAAUAGGUUUCUUGGCUACUGGGCAAGGCUUUGGCUUUGGUUUUUCCACUAUGGGAGAUGGCUUUGGUAUUGGCAUAACAUCUGGAAUUGGCUUCUUAAACACUGGGAUUGGGAAUACUGGAAUUGGAAUUGGAUUUGGUAUAGGCUUAAUAUCUGGAAUCCAC